AGUAGGUGACCUGCGGAAGGAUCAUUGUCGAAACCUGCAAAAGCAGACCGCGAACACGUUCACUAAAACAACCCCGGCGGCGCGGAGCGGGGGCGACCCCGCGACGCGUCCCCCUAACAAACUCGGGCGCGGAAUGCGCCAAAGAAAACAAAAUGGAGCGCUCCCCUCCCCCCACGCGCCCCGUCCGCGGGGCGAAUCGGGGGAAAGGGACGCCUAUCGAAUGUCUAAACGACUCUCGGCAACGGAUAUCUCGGCUCUCACAUCGAUGAAGAACGUAGCGAAAUGCGAUACUUGGUGUGAAUUGCAGAAUCCCGUGAACCAUCGAGUCUUUGAACGCAAGUUGCGCCCGAAGCCAUUAGGCCGAGGGCACGCCUGCCUGGGCGUCACGCAUCGCGUCGCCCCCUCACCCCCCGCCUCGGGGGGUGCCGGGGGCGGAGAUUGGCCCCCCGGGCGCACCGAUGCUCGCGGUCGGCCCAAACCCGAAUCCGCCGUCGACGCACGUCGCGAUCAGUGGUGGUUGAACACUCAACUCUCGUGCUGUCGCACCACGUCGCGUCGUCGGUCCGGAGACCUCAGACCCAACGGAGCGAUCCUCGAAUAGCGCCCACGACCGCGACCCCAGGUCACGCGGGAUCACCCGCUGA
RNAcentral lists this ribosomal RNA (644 nucleotides) under Stachys aegyptiaca. Its description in RNAcentral is "eukaryotic LSU rRNA". The stretch from base 231 to 386 matches the Rfam family "5.8S ribosomal RNA". The record is from RNAcentral. Lineage: Eukaryota; Viridiplantae; Streptophyta; Magnoliopsida; Lamiales; Lamiaceae.